RNAcentral lists this long non-coding RNA (3189 nucleotides) under Helianthus annuus (common sunflower). Its description in RNAcentral is "hypothetical non coding rna". The record is from RNAcentral. Lineage: Eukaryota; Viridiplantae; Streptophyta; Magnoliopsida; Asterales; Asteraceae.
UUCAUUCUUUUCUGCCUUGAUUCUCUGAUUCAAGGAGGGUUCUAAGCUUGUAGGAACCUCCAUUCAGUCCCUUGGACCAUUCGUAAGUAUUCUUUCGUGUUUAGUUAAAUAUUUAGCGGUUAUAGCUGAAAGGUCAAGCGGUUCGAUAAACGCUUUAACUUUUAAACGGCUAAGCCAUGGUUCGCAACGAACAUGGCUACGUGACCGUAAUUAGGUAGGUAAUUAACCCUUAAAAGGGCGCCUCCUAAUUACCACGUUUACUUAGUUUAGUUGUCGGGUCAAAUGAAAGUCAAACGGGUUAGUUUUAAAUAAAAUGCAUAACUAUUAAAUUAAAAGUCAUAAAAUCAGUUUUGCCACAUUAAUAACUUGGUAAAUACUAGUUGAACAUGCCUAAGCAUGUUCAACCCGACAAUUUUAAGUGUAGACUCGGUUCGAAACCGAAAGUCGCAAAAGUUGACUUUUGCUUUGACUUUCAGUUCUGACCCGAUUUAGCUUAGUUUAGAUAUGCCUUAGGAUUCCAUUAGGACCGUAUUAUAAGUUAGUAUAACUCUCUAAAGUUAUACAACUUGGUUCCAUAGAAAUCCUAGUUCAUGCUUGUUUCCGUUAAAAGCCUAAAUGUUGACCGUUAUGCCCUUUUGACCUUAAAACGAUAUUUUUGAAAAUAUGAAAGGAUAGAAACCUUCACUACUGAAUUAUAAACUUGUCCCUAAAGUUUGACAUCAGUUUGAGGUCUAGAUUAGAAGUUAUGCUCAAUAUCGUAAUUAGAAAGCCUUUUAUUAAUUAAACGGCGUAAUUAGCAUAUAUCCUAUCUAAGCCCAAUUUUUGAUACCAAACUUUUUACCUACUGAUAUAAAAUAAUAUUUUGGGAUUUUUAAAGAUUUUUAUUUAUUUUUAGGCUGAGCAUAACAUAGGGUUAUAGGCUUGAUUCGGUAAUUGCCGGUUUUGCCCUUUUGGGCUAUAAAAUGAGUUUUACAAAUCCUUUUGACCCCAAACCUUUUUCUACUAAUCUAAAAUGAUAAAUAAAAUAUUUUGAGCCUUCUGGAAUAAUAAAAAUAUCAGCUCUUCUUAGAAAACCCGAAAAUGGCUCUAAAUCGCCUUUUUAAGCAUUUUUAGCGCAUAAGUAUGUACUAGAACCUUUUUAAGCAUAAAGGAUUGAUACCUGCUGAUGUGUUUAGUAAGUUUUUAUACUUUUAACAGUAGGCAAAUAUUUUAAACUCAGAAUUCCAGAAUUGACCUUUUAGGCACAUGUGAAAUUACCAAAAUGCCCCUACGGUGCAUAGUAAGGUUAAAGGUAAUAAAAUUCACCUAGAUUUGAUACCCUACUGUUAUAACUUAGUAAAUUAAGUAUAUUUACUGAUUUAAUCAGACCUGUACUUCAGGUUAUGAUUUAAACCCUUGUACACCCUUUAAAAUGAACAAAAUGCCCUCAUAAGGCAUAAAUUGGGUUUAAAACCAUUUGGGGCAUAAUGGAAGGUAUCAUUCUGAUAUCACAACAUGUUUAAGGCAUAUUAACUUAGGAAACUUGUAUAUGACUCUUAUGGUUACUCGUUACGCACUUUAUGCGUUCGAAUCGGCGUAGGUAACUAGUUUACCCAUUUUAGCCGAAACGGGUCAAACCAUAUCAUUUCAGUCUCAAAAUCCAGAAUGUGAUUAAGUUACCCAUAUUAAACAAGUAUGCAAGCUUGUUGGGUCAAAACCACAUUCUAAAACGGUCUUCGCCUUAUCGUGCGUUUAAACCGUAAUCUUCAUUUAAGAACUAACCGGUCUAGGCUUAGGCCAAAUUAAAGACCCGUUAGAAAUCUAAUAGAUUAUUAAAAACCUUCGUUCCAGAUUUAGGAGCCCAGUAAAAGCUAUCUGUACUUGCUUGGUGGUAUACGGCUGGGAUUAAAUUUAUAUUUAGCUCAGGUAAAUACGUUUAACUUAUUUUCCCUAUACGGGCUUGGGGUACGGUAUAUAAAAUACCGCUUGGUCGGGGAAUUGACCUUAACCGGUCUUGGUUAUGUGCAGUCAAAUUAACCCGUUUGAAAAUGUUGUUUUGUUUGUUUAACGCCUUUGGGGGCUUAAUGACCAUGUCCCGGAUAUCCUUGGCAUCAUUCAAAGAAUGGCCACGACCUUAGCACUCGGGUGUAGGCGUACACCCGUAGUGCUGUACAACAUGUAUAAUCGUCGGUACGAGAGAAGUCUCGCGGCGGAAUUAUAUUAAGUGGUGUGUCUAUUAAUCUUUAACCCGGCACGACCCGGGCUACCGAACGCAGAACGAACAUGUAAUUUUUUUACAAGAUUAUUAAGCAAAUAAUUAUCCCAAGUUAUACAAAGUUUUGUGCCACGGGCAUUUAAAUCAAUUUUAAACAUUUUCAAAAUGAGUCAGUUAAAUUGUAUUUACCAGUGAAAACUGACGUAUUUUCCCAAAAGACUAAGUGCAGGUACUACGCGUAAUAGGCUGGUUUCUCCUAGCAUCAAAUAGAAGUCUCGCAAGCUUAGAUGUUAAAGUCUGUUGAACAAGUUUCCUCUUUAUUUUGAUCCGCCUGUGGAUCUAUUACUUUCCGUUUGUAAUACUUGGAUAUUACUUCAAUUUGGAUUGUAAUAUAUUUAUCUUUUGCUUCCGCUGUGCAUUUAAAUUUGUGUUGUUUGACUAUAAUGAUAUCAACUACGUUACGGUACUCCUCACCGGGCCCACCGGUGACACGUGGAAAAAUAGGGGUUUGACAGUUGUUGUACAUGGUGCUUUGGGUGUAUUUCAAAAAAAAAUGGGGGUCUGCUUGCUCUUCUCCUUUUGAUUGGCUAAUUUGGGAGGUGGUGUAAUCCUCUGCCUACUCAUACGUGUCUUGCUUUUUCUCUCUCCCAGUUCUUGAAAAUAAGUCCGAUUUCAAAGUCUUCAAAUGCCCUUUUUCUUUUGCUUCACAACAUCUGCACACAUAUAGUUAGAGAGAGGGAGAGUGAGCCAGAAGAAAGAUGGCAGUGGCCGACAUGGUGGUGCACGGCGACGACCAUGGCGGCAUGAGGGUGUCUGGCAGUAGCAUCUGCGGCAUGAGGGUGUUUGGCAGUCGCAUGCCGCCGGUUGCUCCUUGGCCGUGGGGUGUGCUCCGGUGACCAAGUUCUCCGCCGGCAGUGAUGCCGCCGGUUGCUCCUCCCCCUUCUGCCUCCGUCUCUGAGAAAUUGUUGAUAUUUAUGGGUGAAAACUUGAUUUAG